Molecule: small RNA, 186 nt
Filed under: Mycobacterium kumamotonense
Lineage: Bacteria; Bacillati; Actinomycetota; Actinomycetes; Mycobacteriales; Mycobacteriaceae
Description: c-di-AMP sequence
Rfam family: c-di-AMP riboswitch aptamer (ydaO/yuaA leader)
About the family: This family represents a conserved RNA structure found upstream of the ydaO and yuaA genes in Bacillus subtilis and related genes in other bacteria. The ydaO/yuaA element is thought to act as a genetic "off" switch for the ydaO and yuaA genes in its native state. It is believed that the element may be triggered during osmotic shock leading to activation of ydaO, a predicted amino acid transporter gene, and members of the yuaA-yubG operon which code for KtrA and KtrB K+ transporters.
Source: RNAcentral
CGGGGAAAACCACCCAAUACCUGAUGGAUGGAGGCGGGGGACCCGACCGGUCCGCCGCGAGCGGACCUGGGGCCCCCUCGGCCCCUUGGGGUGAAGCCGUAGGACGCACCGCGGUGUGCCGAGGCCGGGCAGUCUUCUUCAGCCCGAACCCGACGCUGACCUCGCAGGCGUAGACAGAGAGGAAUU